This 1085-nucleotide ribosomal RNA is filed under the name Escherichia coli. RNAcentral describes it as "partial 23S ribosomal RNA". It matches the Rfam family "Bacterial large subunit ribosomal RNA", at positions 65 to 1191 of the family's 2925-position model. The record is from RNAcentral. Lineage: Bacteria; Pseudomonadati; Pseudomonadota; Gammaproteobacteria; Enterobacterales; Enterobacteriaceae.
UCUGCGAUAAGCGUCGGUAAGGUGAUAUGAACCGUUAUAACCGGCGAUUUCCGAAUGGGGAAACCCAGUGUGUUUCGACACACUAUCAUUAACUGAAUCCAUAGGUUAAUGAGGCGAACCGGGGGAACUGAAACAUCUAAGUACCCCGAGGAAAAGAAAUCAACCGAGAUUCCCCCAGUAGCGGCGAGCGAACGGGGAGGAGCCCAGAGCCUGAAUCAGUGUGUGUGUUAGUGGAAGCGUCUGGAAAGGCGCGCGAUACAGGGUGACAGCCCCGUACACAAAAAUGCACAUACUGUGAGCUCGAUGAGUAGGGCGGGACACGUGGUAUCCUGUCUGAAUAUGGGGGGACCAUCCUCCAAGGCUAAAUACUCCUGACUGACCGAUAGUGAACCAGUACCGUGAGGGAAAGGCGAAAAGAACCCCGGCGAGGGGAGUGAAAAAGAACCUGAAACCGUGUACGUACAAGCAGUGGGAGCCUCUUUUAUGGGGUGACUGCGUACCUUUUGUAUAAUGGGUCAGCGACUUAUAUUCUGUAGCAAGGUUAACCGAAUAGGGGAGCCGAAGGGAAACCGAGUCUUAACUGGGCGUUAAGUUGCAGGGUAUAGACCCGAAACCCGGUGAUCUAGCCAUGGGCAGGUUGAAGGUUGGGUAACACUAACUGGAGGACCGAACCGACUAAUGUUGAAAAAUUAGCGGAUGACUUGUGGCUGGGGGUGAAAGGCCAAUCAAACCGGGAGAUAGCUGGUUCUCCCCGAAAGCUAUUUAGGUAGCGCCUCGUGAAUUCAUCUCCGGGGGUAGAGCACUGUUUCGGCAAGGGGGUCAUCCCGACUUACCAACCCGAUGCAAACUGCGAAUACCGGAGAAUGUUAUCACGGGAGACACACGGCGGGUGCUAACGUCCGUCGUGAAGAGGGAAACAACCCAGACCGCCAGCUAAGGUCCCAAAGUCAUGGUUAAGUGGGAAACGAUGUGGGAAGGCCCAGACAGCCAGGAUGUUGGCUUAGAAGCAGCCAUCAUUUAAAGAAAGCGUAAUAGCUCACUGGUCGAGUCGGCCUGCGCGGAAGAUGUAACGGGGCUAAACCAUG